This 237-nucleotide ribosomal RNA is filed under the name uncultured bacterium. Its description in RNAcentral is "partial 16S ribosomal RNA". It matches the Rfam family "Bacterial small subunit ribosomal RNA", at positions 524 to 762 of the family's 1533-position model. The record is from RNAcentral.
UACGUAGGGGGCAAGCGUUGUCCGGAAUCAUUGGGCGUAAAGAGCGCGUAGGCGGCCCUGUAAGUCCGCUGUGAAAGUCAAGGGCUCAACCCUUGGAUGCCGGUGGAUACUGCAGGGCUAGAGUCCGGAAGAGGCGAGUGGAAUUCCUGGUGGUAGCGGUGAAAUGCGCAGAUAUCAGGAGGAACACCGAUGGCGAAGGCAGCUCGCUGGACGGUACUGACGCUGAGCGCGAAGCGU